GCGGCCAUGGCGAAGUGGUUAACGCACCGGAUUGUGGCUCCGGCAUCGUGGGUUCGAUUCCCACUGGUCGCC
RNAcentral lists this transfer RNA (72 nucleotides) under Kroppenstedtia eburnea. RNAcentral's name for it is "Thermoactinomycetaceae bacterium JFMB-ATE tRNA". It matches the Rfam family "tRNA". Rfam says of the family: Transfer RNA (tRNA) molecules are approximately 80 nucleotides in length. Their secondary structure includes four short double-helical elements and three loops (D, anti-codon, and T loops). Lineage: Bacteria; Bacillati; Bacillota; Bacilli; Caryophanales; Thermoactinomycetaceae. The record is from Rfam by way of RNAcentral.